AUUGAACGCUGGCGGCAGGCCUAACACAUGCAAGUCGAGCGGAUGAAGGGAGCUUGCUCCUGGAUUCAGCGGCGGACGGGUGAGUAAUGCCUAGGAAUCUGCCUGGUAGUGGGGGAUAACGUCCGGAAACGGGCGCUAAUACCGCAUACGUCCUGAGGGAGAAAGUGGGGGAUCUUCGGACCUCACGCUAUCAGAUGAGCCUAGGUCGGAUUAGCUAGUUGGUGGGGUAAAGGCCUACCAAGGCGACGAUCCGUAACUGGUCUGAGAGGAUGAUCAGUCACACUGGAACUGAGACACUGUCCAGACUCCUACGGGAGGCAGCAGUGGGGAAUAUUGGACAAUGGGCGAAAGCCUGAUCCAGCCAUGCCGCGUGUGUGAAGAAGGUCUUCGGAUUGUAAAGCACUCUAAGUUGGGAGGAAGGGCAGUAAGUUAAUACCUUGCUGUUUUGACGUUACCAACAGAAUAAGCACCGGCUAACUUCGUG
Molecule: ribosomal RNA, 484 nt
Filed under: uncultured bacterium
Lineage: Bacteria
Description: partial 16S ribosomal RNA
Rfam family: Bacterial small subunit ribosomal RNA
Source: RNAcentral